This 109-nucleotide ribosomal RNA is filed under the name Octodon degus (degu). Lineage: Eukaryota; Metazoa; Chordata; Mammalia; Rodentia; Octodontidae. The record is from RNAcentral.
CUCAGACCCCGUGGAAUUGAAUGCGCCCAAUCUCGUCUGAUCUCGGAAGCUAAGCAGGGUUGGUUAGUACUUGGAUGGGAGGCCCUAUGAAAUAUCCACAGCUUUGAAU